Molecule: ribosomal RNA, 326 nt
Filed under: uncultured bacterium
Lineage: Bacteria
Description: bacterial SSU rRNA
Rfam family: Bacterial small subunit ribosomal RNA
Source: RNAcentral
GAUGAACGCUGGCGGCGUGCCUAACACAUGCAAGUCGAGCGAAGCAUUUUAAAGGAAGUUUUCGGAUGGAAUUUGAAAUGACUGAGCGGCGGACGGGUGAGUAACGCGUGGGUAACCUGCCUCAUACAGGGGGAUAACAGUUAGAAAUGACUGCUAAUACCGCAUAUGCCUUGAGUAUCGCAUGGUACAAAAGGGAAAGGAGCAAUCCGCUAAUAGAUGAGCUUGCACCUGAUUAGCUAGUUGGUAAGGUAACGGCUUACCAAGGCGACGAUCAGUAGCCGGACUGAGAGGUUGAACGGCCACAUUGGGACUGAGAUACGGCCCAG